This 395-nucleotide unclassified non-coding RNA is filed under the name soil metagenome. RNAcentral's name for it is "partial contains 5.8S ribosomal RNA, internal transcribed spacer 2, and large subunit ribosomal RNA". The stretch from base 1 to 120 matches the Rfam family "5.8S ribosomal RNA", at positions 35 to 154 of the family's 154-position model. The record is from RNAcentral.
GAUGAAGAACGUAGCGAAACGCGAUAAGUAAUGUGAAUUGCAGAAUUCAGUGAAUCAUCGAAUCUUUGAACGCACCUUGCGCCUUUUGGUAUUCCGAAAGGCACACCUGUUUGAGCGUCAUGAAUACCUCAAUCUCCAUCUUUUCUUCGGAUUGAUGGGUGACUUGGAUGUUGAGCCCUGCUGGUAUGCUAUAUCAGCUGGCUUUAAACUUAUUAGCCGGCUCUGUACUGGAUCGGUUUGACUCGACGUGAUAAUAUUAUCGUUGAGGAUGCAUGUCUCAUGCAGCCGGAAAGUAUCAAAGCAGCUUCUAGCUUGCCUUUAGUGCACUUUUACAUUUUAGACCUCAGAUCAGGUGGGACUACCCGCUGAACUUAAGCAUAUCAAUAAGCGGAGGA